AACGAACGCUGGCGGCAGGCCUAACACAUGCAAGUCGAACGCCGUAGCAAUACGGAGUGGCAGACGGGUGAGUAACACGUGGGAACGUACCCUUCGGUUCGGAAUAACUCAGGGAAACUUGAGCUAAUACCGGAUACGUCCGAGAGGAGAAAGAUUUAUCGCCGAGGGAUCGGCCCGCGUCUGAUUAGCUUGUUGAUGAGGUAACGGCUCACCAAGGCGACGAUCAGUAGCNGGUCUGAGAGGAUGAUCAGCCACAUUGGGACUGAGACACGGCCCAAACUCCUACGGGAGGCAGCAGUGGGGAAUAUUGGACAAUGGCGCAAGCCUGAUCCAGCCAUGCCGCGUGAGUGAUGAAGGCCCUAGGGUUGUAAAGCUCUUUUACCCGGGAAGAUAAUGACUGUACCGGGAGAAUAAGCCCCGGCUAACUUCGUGCCAGCCGCCGCGGUAAC
This 449-nucleotide ribosomal RNA is filed under the name uncultured bacterium. RNAcentral describes it as "bacterial SSU rRNA". It matches the Rfam family "Bacterial small subunit ribosomal RNA", at positions 29 to 524 of the family's 1533-position model. The record is from RNAcentral.